This 17-nucleotide microRNA is filed under the name Corchorus olitorius. RNAcentral describes it as "hsa-miR-44". Lineage: Eukaryota; Viridiplantae; Streptophyta; Magnoliopsida; Malvales; Malvaceae. The record is from RNAcentral.
GUGGAGGAGUGGGUUUU